AAAACUUACCAGGUCAAGACAUGGGCGUGAUUGACAGGCUAAUGACUUUUCUCGAUUCCAUGGAUGGUGGUGCAUGGUCGCACUUAGUUGGUGCAGUGAUUUGUCAGGUUUAUUCCGGUAACGAACGAGACCUCGGCCUUGUAAAUAGCUAUGCUGCUUACAGGGACAUUGGCGGCUACGCCAAGGAAGCUCGAGGCAAUUGCAGAUCUGGAAUGCCCUUAGAUGUCCUGGGUCGCACGCGUGCUACAAUGACGCCACGAACGAGCUUGCGUGAUGAAAGUUACGCAUAAUCAGCAGUCGGCGUCUUAAGGGAUAGUCUCUUGUAACUGUGGGACUCCAACUAGGAAUGUCUCGUAAGCACAAGUCAACAUCUUGUGUUGAUUACGUCCCUGCUCUUUGUACACACCGCCCGUCGCUCCUACCGAUCGAGUGUUUAGGUGAAUUUGAUGGACGUAAGGAAGUCAAAUAAACCUGAGCACUAGAGAAGAGAAGUCGACAUU
This 500-nucleotide ribosomal RNA is filed under the name uncultured Myrionecta. RNAcentral describes it as "bacterial SSU rRNA". It matches the Rfam family "Eukaryotic small subunit ribosomal RNA", at positions 1210 to 1796 of the family's 1831-position model. Lineage: Eukaryota; Ciliophora; Litostomatea; Cyclotrichida; Mesodiniidae. The record is from RNAcentral.